UUCGUCUGUCUGGGAUAAUUUGGGAUAUCCUCAGGAUAAAGUGUGCUGUGUGGGUUAAAUUACAUCCCAGCAAACACCAAAUAUAAAUGCAAUAUAACGUGGGAGUAACAUGUAAUGUAACAGAUGUUACACUCUAUUUAUAUUAUAGUUACGAAACUUUACUACAUAUAUGUGAUGUAACAAAGUUAUGAAGCUAUAAUAUUACUCCGUUAUUUGUAUGUUACAAUAACCGAACAGUGAUGUAACCACAAUGUUGCGUGGUUACACAACAAUUGUUUUAUUUAUGUUAUAUGGAUAUUAUAAAAUUUGAAUCUUGUGAGACUCUAACCUCAAUCGCACAACGUACAUCUCGUGCUAUUAGGCGCGCUUUCCGCUAGUGGAUGCUAUAAUGACGAAAGAGAAACGUUGUUUUCUUGCAACUUGACUUUAAUCAGAUCCAUCAUACAAUUUCGACAAAAUUGUAUACGCUGCUUAUUCGAUGCAUUUUUGCACAAAAUGAACAAAAAAGUAUGGCAAAUAAAAGUUCUACUCCAUCUUGCGAAGCAAUAAAUUUAUCGUUAAAGUUAAAACUAACAGAUAUGUAUAUUACCAAACCUAUUAUUGACAAAAUACAUAGCGAUAUGUUUCCUGUUUUGAUCCGCACAACUACAUAUUUUUAUAUUUAAAUAAUGUAUUUCUUAAGUAAAUUUAAAGAUAAUUUAUUAUUUGGGCUGCUAGUUUUACAUACAUUUCUAGUUACAAAAGUCACCUAGCAUAUGUGUAAAUCAUGCAAUAUAUAAAGGCAGUUAUAAACUUAUAAAUAUAAUUUAUAAAGACGUAUCAUAUUAAAACUAAUUUUAUAUUACAGGAUUCUGCCAAUUAUUCUUACAUCAUUUGGACAACUGUUCUUCUUAAAAUUUAAAAGAACGUAAAGAAUAACUGAAGUUUAUAAAAGCUGAAGAAAUUUUCACAAGGAUUAGAACAGAAAACUGAACUCAAAUGGAAGCGCUUGCACUCUCAUGUCACUAUCAUGUCCUGACAAUUUCGGAUUUUAUAAAACUAUAGGAGAUGUGAUUGACGUUGAGAUUGUGAUUGACAUCUGGAGCAGAGCUAUAAUUUUGUUUAACAUUACAUGAAGUUUAUUUAAUGUUUUUCUCUUAUUUUCCCUCGUUUUUUGUUUUUAAAAGUUAUUUUUAAAAUAUUUUACUAAUAAUCAUAAAGUAUAA
This is a long non-coding RNA of Monomorium pharaonis (pharaoh ant), 1205 nucleotides long. RefSeq lists it as uncharacterized. Lineage: Eukaryota; Metazoa; Arthropoda; Insecta; Hymenoptera; Formicidae. The transcript has 3 exons. The record is from RefSeq and is a predicted model, not a curated record.